GACGAACGCUGGCGGCGUGCUUAACACAUGCAAGUCGAACGGAAAGGCCCUGCUUUUGUGGGGUGCUCGAGUGGCGAACGGGUGAGUAACACGUGAGUAACCUGUCCUUGACUUUGGGAUAACUUCAGGAAACUGGGGCUAAUACCGGAUAGGAGCUCCUGCUGCAUGGUGGUGGUUGGAAAGUUUCGGCGGUUGGGGAUGGACUCGCGGCUUAUCAGCUUGUUGGUGGGGUAGUGGCUUACCAAGGCUUUGACGGGUAGCCGGCCUGAGAGGGUGGACGGGCACAUGGGGACUGAGAGACGGCCCAGUCUCCUACCGGAGGCAGCAGUGGAGAAUCUUGCGGAGUGGGCGGAAGCCUGAUGCAGCAACGCCGCGUGCGGGAUGACGGCCUUCGGGUUGUAAACCACUGUCGACUGUGACGAAGAGUUCGUGACGGUAAUGGGUAAAGAAGCACCGGCUAACUACGUG
RNAcentral lists this ribosomal RNA (468 nucleotides) under uncultured bacterium. RNAcentral describes it as "partial 16S ribosomal RNA". It matches the Rfam family "Bacterial small subunit ribosomal RNA", at positions 28 to 507 of the family's 1533-position model. The record is from RNAcentral.